Chlorocebus sabaeus (green monkey) is the source of this 983-nucleotide non-coding RNA. Lineage: Eukaryota; Metazoa; Chordata; Mammalia; Primates; Cercopithecidae. The record is from RefSeq and is a predicted model, not a curated record.
UCCCAAUUAAAAUCCUCUCCAGAGACGCCUGUGCUGCUUAUGAAAGCAGAACUUUGGUUGUGCUAACAUGUGCAUUCAGCUCAUGGUUUUAAGUUUAUAUCUGAGAGGAUGCUGUAGAAUUCAUUAAUCAUAUGGGAUCAGUAAUGAUGGCAGGUAAUUCUGGCUGAUGUCUUUUAGAGGGUAUUUUUCACUUCAAGUUACAACUUCCUUCGGGAUAGUCAUUUUGGGAUUCAUUGAAAUGUGUGCUUUAUUUCACAGCUCAGAUUUUCGUUAGACAUUUCAUAGCAUAGGAUUUUGAAAGCAGAUUUGGCAAAAUCUUUCUAGCGAAAUGUCUGACGUCAGAAGGAACAGCACUCAGAAUUACUGGUAACUGUGGUCCAUUUUCAGGCUGAUGAUAGAAGUCACUUGAACGGUCAGGGCUGCUGUGUGAGGUGGAUGAUGGGGUUUUUGAACCCUGACCCUCCUGACACGCCAGCUCUGGCCCUGGCCUUCUCUCCUCUCCACUGGGAGGAGAGAAGGUGCCAGCAUCCACCUCACAGGCCAUCGUGAGAACCCGGGACUAAGGGUUUGUGUUCCUCUUGCAGGUGGCGCCGCAGAUGUGGGGGCCUGACGAUAUAUACACACUGCAGGCUGCCAGUGUCGGGGUAAUCCAGUUUUCGUCAAAAGGUGGGAUUUGCUUUGCUACCCUGCGGACCAGGUGCAGUGCUGCUGUUGCAGCAGGACCGUCUAUCCCAGGAAUGCCAAGCCCCACUGGCUUUCACCCGACGCUGUCGUAGGUGACGCCGCAUGGAAAUGAGGACCCGUGUGCCGCAUACCUGAGCCAGUACCCGUCUCCCUCCAGGGCCGUGGCCGAGCCCUCCUGAUUUCGCUGGGUUGCCAGCCUGGGGAUCUGUAAGCCCAGCGACGCCUGCGGUCUCGGCCCCCCCUCCCCGUGGGGACAGGAGAGGUGGCUUCCGGGGGCUGGUGAUGAAUGCCUGAAUGAA